RNAcentral lists this ribosomal RNA (465 nucleotides) under Vreelandella stevensii. Its description in RNAcentral is "partial 16S ribosomal RNA". It matches the Rfam family "Bacterial small subunit ribosomal RNA", at positions 338 to 795 of the family's 1533-position model. The record is from RNAcentral. Lineage: Bacteria; Pseudomonadati; Pseudomonadota; Gammaproteobacteria; Oceanospirillales; Halomonadaceae.
CCUACGGGGGGCUGCAGUGGGGAAUAUUGGACAAUGGGGGGAACUCUGAUCCAGCCAUGCCGCGUGUGUGAAGAAGGCCCUCGGGUUGUAAAGCACUUUCAGUGAGGAAGAACGCCUGGUGGUUAAUACCCAUCAGGAAAGACAUCACUCACAGAAGAAGCACCGGCUAACUCCGUGCCAGCAGCCGCGGUAAUACGGAGGGUGCGAGCGUUAAUCGGAAUUACUGGGCGUAAAGCGCGCGUAGGUGGCUUGAUAAGCCGGUUGUGAAAGCCCCGGGCUCAACCUGGGAACGGCAUCCGGAACUGUCAAGCUAGAGUGCAGGAGAGGAAGGUAGAAUUCCCGGUGUAGCGGUGAAAUGCGUAGAGAUCGGGAGGAAUACCAGUGGCGAAGGCGGCCUUCUGGACUGACACUGACACUGAGGUGCGAAAGCGUGGGUAGCAAACAGGAUUAGAUACCCCGGUAGUC